This 82-nucleotide transfer RNA is filed under the name Phycisphaerae bacterium. Its description in RNAcentral is "tRNA-Leu". It matches the Rfam family "tRNA". Rfam says of the family: Transfer RNA (tRNA) molecules are approximately 80 nucleotides in length. Their secondary structure includes four short double-helical elements and three loops (D, anti-codon, and T loops). Further hydrogen bonds mediate the characteristic L-shaped molecular structure. tRNAs have two regions of fundamental functional importance: the anti-codon, which is responsible for specific mRNA codon recognition, and the 3' end, to which the tRNAs corresponding amino acid is attached (by aminoacyl-tRNA synthetases). tRNAs cope with the degeneracy of the genetic code in two manners: having more than one tRNA (with a specific anti-codon) for a particular amino acid; and 'wobble' base-pairing, i.e. permitting non-standard base-pairing at the 3rd anti-codon position. The record is from RNAcentral. Lineage: Bacteria; Pseudomonadati; Planctomycetota; Phycisphaerae. RNAcentral also lists the same sequence under 2 other names.
GCGGCUGUGGCGGAACUGGCAGACGCGCCAGAUUUAGGAUCUGGUGCCGCAAGGCGUGGAGGUUCGAGUCCUCUCAGCCGCA